This 253-nucleotide ribosomal RNA is filed under the name uncultured bacterium. Its description in RNAcentral is "partial 16S ribosomal RNA". It matches the Rfam family "Bacterial small subunit ribosomal RNA", at positions 524 to 776 of the family's 1533-position model. The record is from RNAcentral.
UACGGAGGUGGCAAGCGUUGCUCGGAAUCACUGGGCGUAAAGGGCGCGUAGGCGGGGAGGUAAGUCGGGUGUGAAAUCCCUCAGCUUAACUGAGGAACUGCGUCUGAGACUGGCAAGCUUGAGUGCAGGAGAGGAACGCGGAAUUCCAGGUGUAGCGGUGAAAUGCGUAGAUAUCUGGAGGAACACCGGUGGCGAAGGCGGCGUUCUGGACUGUAACUGACACUGAUGAACGAAAGCCAGGGGAGCAAACGGG